RNAcentral lists this ribosomal RNA (2543 nucleotides) under Salmonella enterica subsp. enterica serovar Berta str. SA20103550. RNAcentral describes it as "bacterial LSU rRNA". It matches the Rfam family "Bacterial large subunit ribosomal RNA", at positions 1 to 2556 of the family's 2925-position model. The record is from RNAcentral. Lineage: Bacteria; Pseudomonadati; Pseudomonadota; Gammaproteobacteria; Enterobacterales; Enterobacteriaceae.
GGGUUGUGAGGUUAAGCGACUAAGCGUACACGGUGGAUGCCCUGGCAGUCAGAGGCGAUGAAGGGCGUGCUAAUCUGCGAUAAGCGCCGGUAAGGUGAUAUGAACCGUUAUAACCGGCGAUACCCGAAUGGGGAAACCCAGUGUGAUUCGUCACACUAUCAUUAACUGAAUCCAUAGGUUAAUGAGGCGAACCGGGGGAACUGAAACAUCUAAGUACCCCGAGGAAAAGAAAUCAACCGAGAUUCCCCCAGUAGCGGCGAGCGAACGGGGAGGAGCCCAGAGCCUGAAUCAGCAUGUGUGUUAGUGGAAGCGUCUGGAAAGGCGCGCGAUACAGGGUGACAGCCCCGUACACAAAAGCGCAUGUGCUGUGAGCUCGAUGAGUAGGGCGGGACACGUGGUAUCCUGUCUGAAUAUGGGGGGACCAUCCUCCAAGGCUAAAUACUCCUGACUGACCGAUAGUGAACCAGUACCGUGAGGGAAAGGCGAAAAGAACCCCGGCGAGGGGAGUGAAAAAGAACCUGAAACCGUGUACGUACAAGCAGUGGGAGCACAGGUUUACCUGUGUGACUGCGUACCUUUUGUAUAAUGGGUCAGCGACUUAUAUUCUGUAGCAAGGUUAACCGUAUAGGGGAGCCGGAGGGAAACCGAGUCUUAAUUGGGCGUUAAGUUGCAGGGUAUAGACCCGAAACCCGGUGAUCUAGCCAUGGGCAGGUUGAAGGUUGGGUAACACUAACUGGAGGACCGAACCGACUAAUGUUGAAAAAUUAGCGGAUGACCUGUGGCUGGGGGUGAAAGGCCAAUCAAACCGGGAGAUAGCUGGUUCUCCCCGAAAGCUAUUUAGGUAGCGCCUCGUGAAUUCAUCUCCGGGGGUAGAGCACUGUUUCGGCUAGGGGGCCAUCCCGGCUUACCAACCCGAUGCAAACUGCGAAUACCGGAGAAUGUUAUCACGGGAGACACACGGCGGGUGCUAACGUCCGUCGUGAAGAGGGAAACAACCCAGACCGCCAGCUAAGGUCCCAAAGUCAUGGUUAAGUGGGAAACGAUGUGGGAAGGCCCAGACAGCCAGGAUGUUGGCUUAGAAGCAGCCAUCAUUUAAAGAAAGCGUAAUAGCUCACUGGUCGAGUCGGCCUGCGCGGAAGAUGUAACGGGGCUAAACCAUGCACCGAAGCUGCGGCAGCGACGCUUAUGCGUUGUUGGGUAGGGGAGCGUUCUGUAAGCCUGUGAAGGUGUGUCGUGAGGCAUGCUGGAGGUAUCAGAAGUGCGAAUGCUGACAUAAGUAACGAUAAAGCGGGUGAAAAGCCCGCUCGCCGGAAGACCAAGGGUUCCUGUCCAACGUUAAUCGGGGCAGGGUGAGUCGACCCCUAAGGCGAGGCCGAAAGGCGUAGUCGAUGGGAAACGGGUUAAUAUUCCCGUACUUGGUGUUACUGCGAAGGGGGGACGGAGAAGGCUAUGUUGGCCGGGCGACGGUUGUCCCGGUUUAAGCGUGUAGGUGUGUGUUCCAGGUAAAUCCGGUUCACUUUAACACUGAGGCGUGAUGACGAGGCACUACGGUGCUGAAGUAACAAAUGCCCUGCUUCCAGGAAAAGCCUCUAAGCAUCAGGUAACAUCAAAUCGUACCCCAAACCGACACAGGUGGUCAGGUAGAGAAUACCAAGGCGCUUGAGAGAACUCGGGUGAAGGAACUAGGCAAAAUGGUGCCGUAACUUCGGGAGAAGGCACGCUGACACGUAGGUGAAGUGAUUUACUCACGGAGCUGAAGUCAGUCGAAGAUACCAGCUGGCUGCAACUGUUUAUUAAAAACACAGCACUGUGCAAACACGAAAGUGGACGUAUACGGUGUGACGCCUGCCCGGUGCCGGAAGGUUAAUUGAUGGGGUCAGCGCAAGCGAAGCUCCUGAUCGAAGCCCCGGUAAACGGCGGCCGUAACUAUAACGGUCCUAAGGUAGCGAAAUUCCUUGUCGGGUAAGUUCCGACCUGCACGAAUGGCGUAAUGAUGGCCAGGCUGUCUCCACCCGAGACUCAGUGAAAUUGAACUCGCUGUGAAGAUGCAGUGUACCCGCGGCAAGACGGAAAGACCCCGUGAACCUUUACUAUAGCUUGACACUGAACAUUGAGCCUUGAUGUGUAGGAUAGGUGGGAGGCUUUGAAGUGUGGACGCCAGUCUGCAUGGAGCCGACCUUGAAAUACCACCCUUUAAUGUUUGAUGUUCUAACGUGGACCCGUUACCCGGGUUGCGGACAGUGUCUGGUGGGUAGUUUGACUGGGGCGGUCUCCUCCUAAAGAGUAACGGAGGAGCACGAAGGUUGGCUAAUCCUGGUCGGACAUCAGGAGGUUAGUGCAAUGGCAUAAGCCAGCUUGACUGCGAGCGUGACGGCGCGAGCAGGUGCGAAAGCAGGUCAUAGUGAUCCGGUGGUUCUGAAUGGAAGGGCCAUCGCUCAACGGAUAAAAGGUACUCCGGGGAUAACAGGCUGAUACCGCCCAAGAGUUCAUAUCGACGGCGGUGUUUGGCACCUCGAUGUCGGCUCAUCACAUCCUGGGGCUGA